GUUUGUUUCAGAUCUUGCAGAAGCACUAUUUGAAUGCAAAGAAAUUGUUCAAGAUAUCUUAGGGUUUGUGCAAUAGAAGGUGCAGAUGAACAAAGGCCCUUCCACUUUGUGUAUUCACAAAUCUUUUUCUGAACGAGUAUUUUGAAACCACCAGAUCUGAAAUUGAAACCAUUAGAUCUGAAAUUGAAGCCUCCAGAUCUGAAAUCAAAACCUCCAGGUGAUAAAGUCAUUGUAGCUGAUAGAAUUUCUGGGAAGCUGUUGAAAUUUCUGGAGUCCCCACAUGCUACUACUUAUGUUGUGCCUUCUGAAAAUGAA
Vicia villosa (hairy vetch) is the source of this 315-nucleotide long non-coding RNA. RefSeq lists it as uncharacterized. The record is from RefSeq and is a predicted model, not a curated record. Lineage: Eukaryota; Viridiplantae; Streptophyta; Magnoliopsida; Fabales; Fabaceae. The transcript has 3 exons.